CCUACGGGUGGCUGCAGUGAGGAAUAUUGCUCAAUGGAGGAAACCCUGAUGCAGCAAUGCCGCGUGAGUGAAGACGGAUUUCUAUGUGUAAAGCUCUAUCUGCAGGGAAGAAAAUGACGAUACCUGUUUCUGUAGCCCCGUCUCACUCCGUGCCAGCAGCCGCGGUAAUACGCAGGGGGCAAGCGUUAUCCGGAUUUACUGGGUGUAAAGGGGGCGUAGUCGGCAUAUCAAGUCUGAAGUGAAACCCCGAGGCUCAACCAUGGGACUGCUUUGGAAACUGUUCAGCUAGAGUGCUGGAGAGGUAGGCGGAAUGCAUGGUGUAGCGGUGAAAUGCGUAGAGAUUAGGCAGAACACCGGUGGCGAAGGCAGCUUACCGGAC
RNAcentral lists this ribosomal RNA (379 nucleotides) under uncultured bacterium. RNAcentral's name for it is "partial 16S ribosomal RNA". It matches the Rfam family "Bacterial small subunit ribosomal RNA", at positions 338 to 734 of the family's 1533-position model. The record is from RNAcentral.